This 865-nucleotide ribosomal RNA is filed under the name uncultured Herbaspirillum sp. Its description in RNAcentral is "bacterial SSU rRNA". It matches the Rfam family "Bacterial small subunit ribosomal RNA", at positions 12 to 884 of the family's 1533-position model. Lineage: Bacteria; Pseudomonadati; Pseudomonadota; Betaproteobacteria; Burkholderiales; Oxalobacteraceae. The record is from RNAcentral.
UUUGAUCCUGGCUCAGAUUGAACGCUGGCGGCAUGCCUUACACAUGCAAGUCGAACGGCAGCAUAGGAGCUUGCUCCUGAUGGCGAGUGGCGAACGGGUGAGUAAUAUAUCGGAACGUGCCCUAGAGUGGGGGAUAACUAGUCGAAAGACUAGCUAAUACCGCAUACGAUCUACGGAUGAAAGUGGGGGAUCGCAAGACCUCAUGCUCCUGGAGCGGCCGAUAUCUGAUUAGCUAGUUGGUGGGGUAAAAGCCUACCAAGGCAACGAUCAGUAGCUGGUCUGAGAGGACGACCAGCCACACUGGGACUGAGACACGGCCCAGACUCCUACGGGAGGCAGCAGUGGGGAAUUUUGGACAAUGGGGGCAACCCUGAUCCAGCAAUGCCGCGUGAGUGAAGAAGGCCUUCGGGUUGUAAAGCUCUUUUGUCAGGGAAGAAACGGUAGUAGCGAAUAACUAUUACUAAUGACGGUACCUGAAGAAUAAGCACCGGCUAACUACGCGCCAGCAGCCGCGGUAAUACGUAGGGUGCAAGCGUUAAUCGGAAUUACUGGGCGUAAAGCGUGCGCAGGCGGUUGUGUAAGUCAGAUGUGAAAUCCCCGGGCUCAACCUGGGAAUUGCAUUGAGACUGCACGGCUAGAGUGUGUCAGAGGGGGUAGAAUUCCACGUGUAGCAGUGAAAUGCGUAGAUAUGUGGAGGAUACCGAUGGCGAAGGCAGCCCCUGGGAUACACUGACGCUCAUGCACGAAGCGUGGGGAGCAAACAGGAUAGAUACCUGGUAGUCCACGCCCUAACGAUGUCUACUAGUGUCGGGUCUAUGACUGGUAACSCAGCUACSSGUGGAAGUAGACCGCCUGGGGGAGUACG